Molecule: ribosomal RNA, 200 nt
Filed under: uncultured bacterium
Lineage: Bacteria
Description: partial 16S ribosomal RNA
Rfam family: Bacterial small subunit ribosomal RNA
Source: RNAcentral
UACGUAGGGUCCGAGCGUUAAUCGGAAUUACUGGGCGUAAAGCGUGCGCAGGCGGUUUUGUAAGCCAGAUGUGAAAGCCCCGGGCUCAACCUGGGAACUGCAUUUGGGACUGCAAGGCUGGAGUACGGCAGAGGGAGGUGGAAUUCCACGUGUAGCAGUGAAAUGCGUAGAGAUGAGGAGGAACACCGGUAGUGGCUGAA